UGGGGAAUCUUGGACAAUGGGGGCAACCCUGAUCCAGCCAUGCCGCGUGAGUGAUGAAGGCCUUAGGGUCGUAAAGCUCUUUCGCCUGUGAAGAUAAUGACGGUAGCAGGUAAAGAAACCCCGGCUAACUCCGUGCCAGCAGCCGCGGUAAUACGGAGGGGGUUAGCGUUGUUCGGAAUUACUGGGCGUAAAGCGCACGUAGGCGGACCAGAAAGUUGGGGGUGAAAUCCCGGGGGCUCAACCCCGGAACUGCCUCCAAAACUAUUGGUCUAGAGUUCGAGAGAGGUGAGUGGAAUUCCAAGUGUAGAGGUGAAAUUCGUAGAUAUUUGGAGGAACACCAGUGGCGAAGGCGGCUCACUGGCUCGAUACUGACGCUGAGGUGCGAAAAGUGUGGGGAGCAAACAGGAUUAGAUACCCUGGUAGUCCACACCGUAAAACGAUGAAUGCCAGUCGUCGGGUAGCAUGCUAUUCGGUGACACACCUAA
This 485-nucleotide ribosomal RNA is filed under the name uncultured bacterium. Its description in RNAcentral is "bacterial SSU rRNA". It matches the Rfam family "Bacterial small subunit ribosomal RNA", at positions 355 to 855 of the family's 1533-position model. The record is from RNAcentral.